GCUGGGCAUGGUGGUGCACACCUGUAAUCCUAGCAACUCGGGAGGCUGAGGCAAGAGGAUCAAAAGUUCAAGGCCUGCCUCUGCAACUUAGGGAUACCCUGUUUCAA
This 107-nucleotide small RNA is filed under the name Marmota monax (woodchuck). Lineage: Eukaryota; Metazoa; Chordata; Mammalia; Rodentia; Sciuridae. The record is from RNAcentral.